GACGAACGCUGGCGGCGUGCUUAACACAUGCAAGUCGAACGGAAAGGCCCUGCUUUUGUGGGGUGCUCGAGUGGCGAACGGGUGAGUAACACGUGAGUAACCUGCCCUUGACUUUGGGAUAACUUCAGACAACUGGGGCUAAUACCGGAUAGGAGCUCCUGCUGCAUGGUGGGGGUUGGAAAGUUUCGGCGGUUGGGGAUGGACUCGGGGCUUAUCAGCUUGUUGGUGGGGUAGUGGCUUACCAAGGCUUUGACGGGUAGCCGGCCUGAGAGGGUGACCGGCCAUAUUGGGACUGAGGUACGGCCCAGACUCCUACGGGAGGCAGCAGGGGGGAAUAUUGCACAAUGGGCGGAAGCCUGAUGCAGCAACGCCGCGUUCGGGAUGACGGCUAUCGGGUUGUAAACCGCUUUCGCCUGUGACGAAGCGGGAGUGACGGUAAUGGGUAAAGAAGCACCGGCUAACUACGUG
This 468-nucleotide ribosomal RNA is filed under the name uncultured bacterium. RNAcentral describes it as "partial 16S ribosomal RNA". It matches the Rfam family "Bacterial small subunit ribosomal RNA", at positions 28 to 507 of the family's 1533-position model. The record is from RNAcentral.